Non-coding RNA from Virgibacillus chiguensis, 96 nucleotides. The record is from Rfam. NCBI's taxonomy places the organism in Bacteria, Bacillati, Bacillota, Bacilli, Caryophanales, Bacillaceae.
AGCUCCUUUAAACAUAGUCCAGUGAGGCUAAAAAGGUUACGGAAUGACUCUAAAACAGUAUGCCCUUUUUCCUCAUGGAUAAAAGGGCUUUUUGUA